Oryctolagus cuniculus (rabbit) is the source of this 304-nucleotide non-coding RNA. Lineage: Eukaryota; Metazoa; Chordata; Mammalia; Lagomorpha; Leporidae. The record is from RefSeq and is a predicted model, not a curated record.
GUAGGCAAAGUCCACACUACAUGGAUUUUGGUGCUGAGCAGCUACCCAAGGUGUGGUGACGCCAAGAGACACUGACUUUAAGAAGAGGACACUCCUGCUUUUUUCCAAAAUAUCUAGUAAUAUUCCAAGACCAUCACAUCCAAAGCUUUCAACCCAACUGAAAAACAGGAAAAAGGAAAUAUUAAACUCUUAAUUGCCUCAAGAAAAACUACGUAUGUAUACUACCACGUAGCACUUUGUAGAAGAGGUCUCAAUGUAGGCGAAAAAAAGACAACAGAACUAAAAGGGGGGGGGGGGGAGUCUC